Molecule: ribosomal RNA, 460 nt
Filed under: uncultured bacterium
Lineage: Bacteria
Description: partial 16S ribosomal RNA
Rfam family: Bacterial small subunit ribosomal RNA
Source: RNAcentral
CCUACGGGUGGCAGCAGUGAGGAAUAUUGGUCAAUGGACGAGAGUCUGAACCAGCCAAGUAGCGUGAAGGAUGACUGCCCUAUGGGUUGUAAACUUCUUUUAUAAAGGAAUAAAACGAGGCACGUGUGCCUUUUUGCAUGUACUUUAUGAAUAAGGAUCGGCUAACUCCGUGCCAGCAGCCGCGGUAAUACGGAGGAUCCGAGCGUUAUCCGGAUUUAUUGGGUUUAAAGGGAGCGUAGAUGGGUUGUUAAGUCAGUUGUGAAAGUUUGCGGCUCAACCGUAAAAUUGCAAUUGAUACUGGCAGUCUAGAGUACAGUUGAGGUAGGCGGAAUUCGUGGUGUAGCGGUGAAAUGCGUAGAUAUCACGAAGAACCCCGAUUGCGAAGGCAGCUUACUAAACUGUGACUGACAUUGAUGCUCGAAAGUGUGGGUAUCAAACAGGAUUAGAUACCCUAGUAGUC